CUCUGCCAUGGAUCACAACGGCCUUGAUCACUCAGAACCAUACUAUGAACACGUGUACACGGAAAACCCUCCUCACAGGUCCAAGUAACAACGGGCUCUACUCCCUCUGUGUGCCAUCCAUCCGUCCUCUACACAAAGUUGCCUUUUCUGUUGUUCGUGCUUCUCAAGAUACAUGGCAUCGAAGACUUGGACAUCCACAUCCAGAUCUAUUGAAGUCUAUGUUAUCUCUUUUUUCACUUCCUGUUAGUAAUAAAAGUUUGUCAUCCUCUUGUACCUCGUGUCACAUGGGGAAAUCCUCAAAACUUCAUUUGUUUCCUUCAACUUUUAAGAGUAAUAAUGUUUUGGAUUUAAUUUUUUGUGAUGUGUGGGGUCCUGCACCAAUUAAAUCAUUGAAUGGUGAUUCUUAUUUUUUACGAUGUGUUGAUCAUUUUACUCGUUAUAUGUGGAUUUUUUCCUUAAAACAUAAAUCAGAUGUGUGUGUUACAUUCAAAAAUUUUCAUGCUAUGGUUGAACGACAAUUUAAGACCAAGCUCAAAUCUGUCCAAACUGAUUGGGGUGGGGAGUUUCGACCUCUCUCUCCUUUUUUUACCUCUCUAGGUAUCAUUCAUCGUCUCUCUUGUCC
Molecule: long non-coding RNA, 622 nt
Filed under: Helianthus annuus (common sunflower)
Lineage: Eukaryota; Viridiplantae; Streptophyta; Magnoliopsida; Asterales; Asteraceae
Description: sRNA HanXRQr2_Chr03g0093821
Source: RNAcentral